GGGGAUUUAGCUCUGUGGUAUAAGCACCUGCCUUGCAAGCAGGUUGUCAUGAAUUCGAUCCCCA
This 64-nucleotide transfer RNA is filed under the name Cavia porcellus (domestic guinea pig). It matches the Rfam family "tRNA", at positions 1 to 62 of the family's 71-position model. From Rfam's summary of the family: Transfer RNA (tRNA) molecules are approximately 80 nucleotides in length. The record is from Rfam by way of RNAcentral. Lineage: Eukaryota; Metazoa; Chordata; Mammalia; Rodentia; Caviidae.